Molecule: non-coding RNA, 72 nt
Organism: Podarcis lilfordi (Lilford's wall lizard)
Lineage: Eukaryota; Metazoa; Chordata; Lepidosauria; Squamata; Lacertidae
Source: the annotation of a GenBank genome assembly
GGUGCCGUACCUCUGUGCUAGAGCAUCUGCUUUGCAUGCAGAAGAUUCCAGGUUCAAUCCUUGAUGACAUCU